UGAUGCUCCAGCAAGAGACACGGUGACCUAGCUCCUCCUUGUUCUGUCUCUUUCAGUUUUCUGGCCAUUAUUAAAUGAGCAGCUUCUUCCACUACAUCGUACCUCUGGGAUGUAAACCUGCACUGCCAGAAUAGGAGGCACAGCCUGGUAAAUUUACUACAACACACUGAUCUGUGGAAUUAAAGAUAUUUUUAUGAAAUCCAUUGCCCCUGCCUACAUCCAACACAGAAUUCAACAGCUUUUUUGCUUUCUCUCGCUUCCAAAGAGUUGAUGGACACAACUUAGCUCGGAUGGUUGCCACAUCUGCUUAAAGGAAAAUAGAACCUGCAUUACUCAAGGGG
This 341-nucleotide long non-coding RNA is filed under the name Fukomys damarensis (Damara mole-rat). Its description in RNAcentral is "lncRNA (ENSFDAG00000032332.1)". Lineage: Eukaryota; Metazoa; Chordata; Mammalia; Rodentia; Bathyergidae. The record is from RNAcentral.